This 51-nucleotide ribosomal RNA is filed under the name Anulocaulis eriosolenus. Its description in RNAcentral is "partial 26S ribosomal RNA". Lineage: Eukaryota; Viridiplantae; Streptophyta; Magnoliopsida; Caryophyllales; Nyctaginaceae. The record is from RNAcentral.
UUGGGACCCCAGGUCAGGCGGGACUACCCGCUGAGUUUAAGCAUAUCAAUA